This 580-nucleotide ribosomal RNA is filed under the name Listeria monocytogenes. RNAcentral describes it as "partial 23S ribosomal RNA". It matches the Rfam family "Bacterial large subunit ribosomal RNA", at positions 408 to 988 of the family's 2925-position model. The record is from RNAcentral. Lineage: Bacteria; Bacillati; Bacillota; Bacilli; Caryophanales; Listeriaceae.
CUGAGUACGGCGGAACACGUGAAAUUCCGUCGGAAUCCGGGAGGACCAUCUCCCAAGGCUAAAUACUCCCUAGUGACCGAUAGUGAACCAGUACCGUGAGGGAAAGGUGAAAAGCACCCCGGAAGGGGAGUGAAACAGUUCCUGAAACCGUGUGCCUACAAGUAGUUAGAGCCCGUUAAUGGGUGAUAGCGUGCCUUUUGUAGAAUGAACCGGCGAGUUACGAUUUGUUGCAAGGUUAAGCGGAAAAAGCGGAGCCGUAGCGAAAGCGAGUCUGAAUAGGGCGCAUAAGUAACAGGUCGUAGACCCGAAACCAGGUGAUCUACCCAUGUCCAGGAUGAAGGUAAGGUAAUACUUACUGGAGGUCCGAACCCACGCACGUUGAAAAGUGCGGGGAUGAGGUGUGGGUAGCGGAGAAAUUCCAAUCGAACUUGGAGAUAGCUGGUUCUCUCCGAAAUAGCUUUAGGGCUAGCCUCGAGGUAAAGAGUCAUGGAGGUAGAGCACUGUUUGGACUAGGGGCCCUUCUCGGGUUACCGAAUUCAGAUAAACUCCGAAUGCCAUGUACUUAUACUCGGGAGUCAGA